RNA transcript from Canis lupus familiaris (dog), 1256 nucleotides. It is a transcript of the gene named cuticle collagen 2-like, with no coding region annotated. Lineage: Eukaryota; Metazoa; Chordata; Mammalia; Carnivora; Canidae. The record is from RefSeq and is a predicted model, not a curated record. The transcript has 5 exons.
CUAUUUAAUUUUUUAACUCUGCCCGUCCCUUCCAUGGAAGUUAGUUUGUUUUAACUUCCCUUCGAAUGUGCUCUGGAAAAGGCCAUCCCCUAUCAAAUGGUUCCCUGGACUCUCUCUACAAUGUCCAACUCUUCACCAUCCACAUUUUUGCUAAGGGAAUUUGAUGUCAUAAAUUAUCUUCAAUCAUUAAUUCUCUAUGAACUAAAUUAAUCCUAAAAGCAGAUAUAGUGUGAAAAGGAGCUAUAUAAGUGAGAAACUCCGGAUUUCUCCACAAGAAGAAGACUACACCUGUAGUUUAAAGGAGUGUGUCUGAGUUUCCUGCAGCAUCAGGAGAGGGAGAGACAGACACCAUGAUUCCUACCAAGAUGCUACUGCUCUUGCUGUCAAUGGCUUUGCUGGCCUUGGGCUCUGCUCAGGGCAUCAGUGACGAUGAUGAAUUCUUGAAAGAAACCUCAGAGGAAUCACAAGUGAAAUCUCAAGAAGAAAAUGGAGUUGAGAACAGCAAGCCAGACAAAGAUGGUCCAGGUGGCCCACAGAGACCAGCAGGCCAACAAGUUCCAGGUGGUCAACAGCAACCAGGAGCCCAAAGUGGUCCAGGUGGCCCACAGGGUCCAGCAGGCCAACAAGGCCCAGGUGGCCAACAGCGUCCAGGAGCCCAAGGUGGUCCAGGUGGUCCACAGCGUCCAGCAGGCCAACAGCGUCCAGGAGCCCAAGGUGGUCCAGGUGGCCCUCAAAGUCCAGCAGGCCAACAGGGUCCAGGAGGUCAACAGCGUCCAGGAGUCCAAGGUGGUCCAGGUGGCCCACAAGGUCCAGUGGGCCAACAGGGUCCAGGAGGUCAACAGGGUCCAGGAGCCCAAGGUGGUCCAGGUGGCCCACAGGGUCCAGCGGGCCAACAGGGUCCAGGUGGCCAACAGCGUCCAGGAGCCCAAGGUGGUCCAAGUGGCCCACAGGGUCCAGCAGGCCAACAGGGUCCGGGUGGCCAGCAGCAUCCAGGAGCCCAGGGAUUUCCAGGUGGCACACAGGGUCCGGCAGGGCAACAUGGCCCAAGUGGCCAACAGGGCUCAGGUGGUCAAGGUGGUCCAGGUGGCCAGCGUGAUCAGCGUGGUGGCCAGUAACAAGGAAACCAAGUAAAGAGGACCUCCUGUGAUUUCCUAGAAAUUGAGAGAGAUCAACUGGUGACCAUGGAUUUUUCAGUCGUGUCCACGUGGCCUUCCUUCCUCUGACUUCAAAUUAUCAAUAAAGUCAUCAGCAUUAAA